Amphimedon queenslandica is the source of this 258-nucleotide long non-coding RNA. RefSeq lists it as uncharacterized. NCBI's taxonomy places the organism in Eukaryota, Metazoa, Porifera, Demospongiae, Haplosclerida, Niphatidae. The record is from RefSeq and is a predicted model, not a curated record. The transcript is spliced from 2 exons.
UCCACCCCCUCCCUCUCUCCCUCCCCCUCCUCCUCCUCCUCUCUCUGAGCUCCAAGCCACACCUACCACCGCAAGAACUAGCAGUCGUCUCCAACAGAUGCAGAACCGACUGAGGACCAGAAUGAUGAAGAGAACAGAGUCAACUGACGUACCCGAGACACCAAAUAAGAAGACGCUGGAUUUUAAAUCUCGUCAGUGGGCGGAGAUACAGGCUCGUCAGCGUAAGAUGUCAGUCCCUGACUUCCUUCACUUAGCAAA